GUGCUAACUUUGACAGCACAUACACUAAAAGUGAAACGUUACAGAGAAGAUUAGCACAGCCACUGUUCAAUAAUGUCACAAAAAUUAAUGAAGUGUUCCCUAUUAAA
Small nuclear RNA from Perognathus longimembris pacificus (Pacific pocket mouse), 107 nucleotides. The record is from RefSeq and is a predicted model, not a curated record. Lineage: Eukaryota; Metazoa; Chordata; Mammalia; Rodentia; Heteromyidae.